RNAcentral lists this microRNA (23 nucleotides) under Strongylocentrotus purpuratus (purple sea urchin). RNAcentral's name for it is "spu-miR-2003-3p". The record is from miRBase by way of RNAcentral. Lineage: Eukaryota; Metazoa; Echinodermata; Echinoidea; Camarodonta; Strongylocentrotidae.
CAGGUUAUGCCCUUUGGGUAGUA